RNAcentral lists this ribosomal RNA (253 nucleotides) under uncultured bacterium. RNAcentral describes it as "partial 16S ribosomal RNA". It matches the Rfam family "Bacterial small subunit ribosomal RNA", at positions 524 to 776 of the family's 1533-position model. The record is from RNAcentral.
UACGUAGGGCGCAAGCGUUGUCCGGAAUUAUUGGGCGUAAAGAGCUCGUAGGCGGCUUGUCACGUCGGGUGUGAAAGCCCGGGGCUUAACCCCGGGUCCGCAUUCGAUACGGGCUAGCUAGAGUGUGGUAGGGGAGAUCGGAAUUCCUGGUGUAGCGGUGAAAUGCGCAGAUAUCAGGAGGAACACCGGUGGCGAAGGCGGAUCUCUGGGCCAUUACUGACGCUGAGGAGCGAAAGCGUGGGGAGCGAACAGG